GCGUUCAUAGCUCAGUUGGAUAGAGCAACAGCCUUCUAAGCUGUGGGUCGCAGGUUCGAAUCCUGCUGGACGCACCA
RNAcentral lists this transfer RNA (77 nucleotides) under bacterium. RNAcentral describes it as "tRNA-Arg". It matches the Rfam family "tRNA". Rfam says of the family: Transfer RNA (tRNA) molecules are approximately 80 nucleotides in length. The record is from RNAcentral. RNAcentral also lists the same sequence under 2 other names.